This is a long non-coding RNA of Myxocyprinus asiaticus (Chinese sucker), 2017 nucleotides long. RefSeq lists it as uncharacterized. The transcript has 3 exons. Lineage: Eukaryota; Metazoa; Chordata; Actinopteri; Cypriniformes; Catostomidae. The record is from RefSeq and is a predicted model, not a curated record.
UGAGGAAGUAGAGCCCUGUGGCAGUCACAGCAGAUUUUAGAGGGGAAAAAUUAAUUUUGAGUAUGCCUGGGUCUUGGAAGAGAAAGACAAACUGAGGGGUGUCUCUCAGCAUUUUGAAGAGAGCAUCAGAUGAUGUAAAAGAGCAGGGGAUGUCUGUAAGAUCUGUGGCAAAAUUGUAUGGCAUUUGCCAUGUAACCUUGUACAGAUUCUGCAAAAAGAGGAAGAUGUUAGAAGAGAAGGGAUCAAGGGAACCUCCGAGUGUAGGCUACCACAGUGGAAAGAAGAUCUUCACUGAUGAACAAGAGAAAGAUCUUACAGAAUAUCAGAUGAGCCAGCUGAUGCAUUUUAUGGACUGUGUCCAUGUGAAGAGCGUACUGGUUUUCAGCCUACAUGAAAAGAAACACAACUCUGUCCAUUAGGAGCCCCGAGGCCACAAGCCUGGCACGGGCCACCAGUUUUAAUAAACACAAUGUGGCAAUGUUUUUCAGAAAACUUGACGAAAUAAUAAGGAGGCACAGCUUAACUGCCAACGACAUUUGGAAUGUCGAUGAAACAGGCAUUAAAACUGUGCAAACUCCGGUCAGUGUGAUUGCAAAACGUGGCUCUAAACAGGUUGGGGCAAUGACAUCAGGAGAAAGGGGUCAACUGGUCAGUCUCGCAUUUACAGUCAAUGCCAUUGGCAACACAAUUCCUCCAAUGUUUGUGUUCCCACGCCUUCGUACGCAGACCACUUUGUAUGAGAUGGGCCGAUAGGAAGUACUGGAUAUGGAAAUAAAUCAGGAUGGAUGCAGUUGGAGGAUUUUGAAAUCUUUCUGAAGCACUUCGCAAACCACACCAAGGUCAGCCCUGAGAAAAAGUUGCUACUUCUCCUAGAUAACCAUUGCUCACACGUCAAUUACAGCCAUUGACUACUGCAAGAACAAUGGAAUUGUGAUGCGAACAUUCCCCCCUCAUUGUAGUCAUAAACUCCAACCCCUCAACAGGAGUGUAUAUGGCCCACUCAAGAAGAUGGUGAACAGUGCAAGUGAUUGCUGGAUGAGAAUGAAUCCAGGAAAGACCAUGACAAUAUAUGAUAUACCAGGUCUUGUGAGGAUAGCACUUCUUUCUUCAGCUACACUAAAGAAUAUUCAAGCUGGAUUCCAGUGCAGUGGAAUUUGGCCGUAAAAUCCAGACAUACAGUAUUCGAGGAGAGUGUAUACACCUUCACAAGUCACAGAUCGUCUUGAUCCAGCCGUCCACCAGGCCACUCCUCCAGCUACCCAUCUGGCCACUCCUCCAGGUGGCCACUAGGCUAUCGCCUCAUCAAGCUGUGCUAAAAAAACAGUGAACUUUAGCCCAGGUGAUGUGCGACCCUUACCAAAAGCUGUACCAAGGAAAAUCCCAGUAACAGGAAGAAAGAGGAGACAGACAGCAAUACUCACUGAUACACCUGUCAAGAUGGCUCUGGGAGAAGAGCAGAGAACAAGGUCUGACAAAGUGAAACGGAAAAUAAGCUUGCCCAAGAAAGGCCUGGCCAACAAACAGGAUAAAUCGACUCGCACAAACCAACAAUGCCCUAGGCUGUCUAAGAAAACACCGGGAAAGAACAAACAGAAAUUGCAUAACUUUGAGCCACCGGACACAGAUUCCUCAGAUGCUGAGGAGAAUUUAUGUAUUGUGUGCAUGGAACACAAAAACUCAAAGCCAAAAGAAGGUUGGGUUCAGUGUUUGACCUGUAAUCUGUGGGCCCACGAAGCCUGCACUCCAGGAGUGCCAUACAUCUGUCACCACUGUGACUCUGAUGGUGACUAACACCUUGUGCACACACACACGUUCAAGUUAAAUUUUAUUAUGGCCAAUUACUAUGACUGACAGUAACAAACAUGCUUACACACACACGCAUGCACAUUAUUCAGUUUUAUUAUGAUGAUGCUAAUGUAUCACACGCACACACAAAUAGUGUUCAAUUGUUGAAGCUGGUGCACAUUUGCUCAUUUUAUUCAGUUUUGUUACACACACACACCAAAUAUUUUGAAAA